AGGAUGAACGCUGGCGGCGUGCUUAACACAUGCAAGUCGAACGAUGAUCCCUAGCUUGCUGGGGGGAUUAGUGGCGAACGGGUGAGUAACACGUGAGUAACCUGCCCUUGACUCUGGGAUAAGCCUGGGAAACUGGGUCUAAUACUGGAUACGACUGACUAUCGCAUGGUGGUUGGUGGAAAGCUUUUGUGGUUUUGGAUGGACUCGCGGCCUAUCAGCUUGUUGGUGGGGUAAUGGCCUACCAAGGCGACGACGGGUAGCCGGCCUGAGAGGGUGGACGGCCACGACUGGGACUGAGACACGGCCCAGACUCCUACGGGAGGCAGCAGUGGGGAAUAUUGCACAAUGGGCGCAAGCCUGAUGCAGCGACGCCGCGUGAGGGAUGAAGGCCUUCGGUUGUAAACCUCUUUCAGUAGGAAGAAGCGAAAGUGACGUACCUGCAGAAGAAGCGCCGGCUAACUACGUGUCAGCAGCCGC
Molecule: ribosomal RNA, 477 nt
Filed under: uncultured soil bacterium
Lineage: Bacteria
Description: bacterial SSU rRNA
Rfam family: Bacterial small subunit ribosomal RNA
Source: RNAcentral